Molecule: unclassified non-coding RNA, 458 nt
Filed under: Hevea brasiliensis (rubber tree)
Lineage: Eukaryota; Viridiplantae; Streptophyta; Magnoliopsida; Malpighiales; Euphorbiaceae
Source: RNAcentral
UCUACAACAUGUCGAACCCAAAUUAAAAUGCCCUAGGAAAACAUCAACAUACUAUCUCAAUGAUUGUCAUUCAGAAAAGUGUAUAUCAAACUUUCAAUAUUUGAUAUCUAAACAUUACUACUUGAUAGAGAUGUAGUUAGAUGUUUAUGCUUUGCUCGUAAGCAGACUUCUUGCCUAUCAUUCAUCAACCUCACAAAAGCUACAGACCGUAACUUUUUCCCAUGAGAAACACUUAAAGUUGAUUCAUCCAAAGACAUUGUCUUCAGUCUCAGACCAAAAACCUCAUAACUAAAUUUAGAAUUAUGAAGGAUCUUCUAAAGGCUUUGUAAGGAACUCCUUUCUUUUAGUCAAAUACUGACAUGGGACCUACAUCAGUUCAAUCCCAACCUGCCUACAGAAGUAUAGGUUGAUAAUAGAAAGAUCAUAAGCAAGGCACCAAAAGCAUACCUCUUCUUUUG